Molecule: long non-coding RNA, 7778 nt
Filed under: Nicotiana tabacum (common tobacco)
Lineage: Eukaryota; Viridiplantae; Streptophyta; Magnoliopsida; Solanales; Solanaceae
Description: long non-coding RNA (NTAB_LNC005689)
Source: RNAcentral
CCCUUCCCUUGAAAACCUGUAUUAGUAUUACAGCCUUGUUCCUUCGCAGAACUACCACACGGCCUCCUUGCUCUGAUUGCAAAGCGUGUUAAAGUGAUUGAAGAUUUCAUUGCUUUUGGUGCUGUUUCUGCCUCUUGGCGAACUGUUGUUACAAAGAAAAACUUUGAUGUGUUUCGCCCCAAGUUCCGCUGCUAAUGCUGGCUGAUAAAGACAAUGAUUAUCGAAAAUUUUACUCUCUUUCCAAGAAGAAAGUUUUGCGUAUAUUUCUCCCCGAAGCUAGAGGGCGACAGUGUUUUAUAUCAGAGGGAUGGAUCUGUACCGCGUCAUACACCGGAGAGGUAAACUUGUUGCAUCCUUUUUCCCGUACCCUAAUCCAACUUCCUCCGCAACAGGCCUUAUUGGCUUUUGAUUGCGACGAUACAGAUGGAGGAUAUCCAUGCAUUGACCAAAUUGUGUUAUCUGCUAGCCCUUCUCUUACAUCAGAUUAUAUAUUAGUGGUUUCUUUUUAUGGAUAUAAAAAUUGUUUGGGUUUUUGGCGACCUGGAGAUCUCAACUGGACUAAAUAUUAAAAUCGACAGAUCUAAUGUAGUAGGUGGAGUUAUCAGUCUCAAAUACUAACUAUAAGGGUAAAUUUUAUGCUGUGUAUUACUCUGGCCAAGUCUGGGUUUAUGAUGUACUAAUUGGAGAGUCACGUCAUCUUGUUUGACUUGAGGAUGAUAUGUUUAAACGGCCAUUAGUUCAGUUCUACCUAGUAGAAGUAUUAGGUGCACUAUUAUUGGUUAGCAGAUUUGCCUCAGAGGUUCCAAAUAGUGGUGCUGAAACCUUGAAAUUUAAAGUAUUUGAAUUAGAUGUAAUCAAAGGUGAAUUGAAGGAGAUUAAUACCUUGGGAGAAUCAUCAUCAAUUUUCUUGGGCCGUAAUAGAGCAAGUUCUAUUGACUCUUCUAAGUUUAUCGGAGUCAAGCCGAAUCACAUAUAUUUUACUGAUGAUUGGACUGAUUUCUAUAGUACAUUGGACGGAGGGGGCGGAAGAGAUAUGCGGGCUUACGAUCUUGAAAGCGGAAAAAUUAAAUCUUUUUAUCCUGGAUUCUCCCUAAGUCGUAUUUGCCCGCCAACUUGGGUUGCACCAUCAUUCUAAUAAUGUGAUUGAUAUUUUUUUUAUUGGCGCUUUUCAAUGUGGUAAUUUUCUUAUUUUCCUGAGUUAUUAGUUUGAAGCUAAGUUGAUCUAUUUAUUUUUCUUCAUUGUAAUCUUGUAGAUGUAUGAAUGGUAUCUUACUUAAUUAGUUAUAAUUGUACUCUCUAAAUGAUUUUGAGGCUUAUAAUACACCAUUUGCAAACAAAAACCCUGUAAUUUGAUUCCCCUCCUACAUUCUAAUUUCAGUGUUCUAUUUUCACUAUGAAAAGAAAUCACAAGAAAUUUGAUUUGAAAAAUAAUACUCAAAAUUUAGAUGGAUAAGAACAUUGGAAAGAGUACGUAAACACACUUACUCUGUUUUCUCUAUAGAAAAUUUCUGGAUUGCUGGCAUAACAUGAAGUAAUCAUCCUUUAUAGAUUGGAUUGUCGAGCUCUGUUAAUGGCCUAAUGCCCUGGAGGAAAACAAUAGAGAGGAUGUAAGCAAAUUUUGAUAGCAGAUCCUGCAAUGGCCUUCACUGGUGGCAAAAGUACUCAUAGAAAAACCGUAGUCUCUUUAUUUGUGUAUUUCACCAACACCAGCAACUAUAUUCAAUCCUACAAAAAGAACACAUGCUCGCUUAUUUCAAAUGAAUUGGUGAUUAAUGGUCAAUAGGUUAGAAAGGGGUUAUAUUUUAAUUUUUAAUAUUCUAACUACUUCUACUUUGAAACCAAUUUUUAAUUUGAUCACAUGACUUGUGAAAUUCAGUUUCGACUCAAACGGAAUCAACUCAGAGACUAUAUUUCUUUAUUUGUUCUAGCUCCAUCUUGAGAACCGUGUUCACAAUAGUAUAAAACAGAUGUAAACAACUUCCAAGUCGAAAUUAUGAACGACUUGACUUGAUUAUAAAAGUUUUACUGCCAUACAGAAUAAGUCUCCACUAUGAAAAUCGAAACUUCACAAGUCUAUAAGAUGCAGAAGGCAACAGAUCCAAACUCAAAGCUUCACCAUCAAGAAAUAAGUAUUAUAUUACAAAUAUAGUCAGGCCAAAAUUACAAUAAACUGCCUUGCUGUUGCAUUUUAGAGAAAAAAAAGCAUGUAAAUCAUUUUUUCAAGCUCUAAUGUUGGAAAAAAGUAAGCUGAAAGGUAACCAAAAUAGUUGACAGAAUAUAAAUUCAUUACUAACCUUUCAAUAAUUUUGUUCACAAAGCCCUUCUCUAUUCUCAUUGAGUUCUUCUUAAUACCAUUGACUGCUAAAAAAUGGACACAAAAUAGUCAAUAAAUACAUGUAUGUGCAAAAUCAGUUAACAAAAGCGAGAAAGGCUCAAGAACUCUACAAUAGCUUUCAAUAAAUUUGGGUUUCUUAACUGUGGGGGUCAGAGAAUGUCCAUUGAGGCAAUUUGGACAGGAACAGCAAAUUUGACACCAAUAUUAAAAAGAGAGCGUGCAUUGCAUAAUCAAUUAAUGAAAAGAGCCAAAGACACAUGUAAUUCCAGAAUAGCCAUUAGAAGUUUAUGUACCUUCUAGAGUCAGCGAUGACACGACAAAUAUAGCGUAUAGAAUUUGAAGAUAAAGACGCAAAUCCUCAAAAAAAUACUGCUUACAUGUUCGUCAUGUCACACCCCUUUUUUCACCCUAACCCUCUUUAAAAUAAAUAAUAAAGUGGUUUUUGAAGAUCAAAAGGGUUUUUAAAUUGAAAGUGACAAAAAUUGUGUUUUAAAGGACUUUGAGAGUAGCCACUUGACAUUUGGUUUCGGUGUGCCAAGUCACCGUUUUAACAAAAAAUAAUUUUUCCUUUUAAAAUACGUUUUGACUCUUAAACAUAGUCUGCAACAGAAAUUCCAAGAAAGGAGGUUCAUUCGACUCGGGGAGAAGGUGUUAGGCGUUCCCGAGUCCCGUACCUAGUACGGUUGCAUACUUGAUCUAAUUGGCUUUUAGCAAUACUCUAAUGGAGGUAAAACACACAAAAAGGAAAAAACAAACACAAAGAAGGUUCAAGGUUGUCCCCACGUGAAAAAAGAAAAUAAGAGAAAAAUAAAAACAAAAAUUCUACGCCUCUUCAGUGUCGUCCCGUCUUUGGCCUCCAAGUACUACGGGCAUUCCCCGGAUAAAUAAUAAACUAAAGGGACAACCUCUCACCUUGAGUAAAAGAAAAGACCUAAAGUUUGCCUACUCAGGUGUGGUCGGCCUAAAUAUGCUACUAGCGGAAUAAUAUAAUAAAAAAAUAAAAAUAAAGUAGAAAAAAGGAAACUUAUUUCAUACUCAUGUUCUUUGUUCAUGUAUUUAACCCAGCCCAAUUCCUGAUCAUGCAAGUCAAGAUUUAAUAGCUAAUCCCCACGGCCCAUAUCAAUCAACGUUCAUUCAAAUAAUUUCAUAUCCAACUAAAAGCAAUCAACAGAAUAAGGCAUCUAGCACAUAACAUCCAAGCCACUUAAAGAAGAUGAGAACUAAACUAAAAUACUAGUAGAAUAAGGAAAUGUGAAUUAAAACCAAUAAGAAGAACCAUUUAAAGACUACUGCACCACCCCCAAUUUUAGCUUCUCAAUUGUAUCAUAUCUGAACCUCUGUUUUAAAAGGCGUUUCUGGGGCGAGCCCGGGGCGAGGCAUACCAAAAACGCUCCGGGCGAUGGUGUGGGACGAAAGUCUCAAGAGGCGUACGCCCCGCAAUUUGGGGCGUACGCCCGGGCGUUCGGGGCGCGUUUUUUUAGUAAGGAGUAAGCCCCAGAGACUUUUUCAAAUUAAAACAAAAUUUGUUGAAUUAGUCCUUCAUAUAAUACCCAAAUUCUCAAAAGUCAGUUUGGAAUUACUCAAAAGGUUUAAAAAGGAACUCAAAAAGUAUUAAAUUUAAAAGUAAAGACCUUUUUAAUUGAUUUAAGCCCUAAUUCAUGAUUUUCCCAAUUUUUUAUCUUGUCCGCUAGUCUGCUAAUAUAUCCCAAAAGCAACGAAUAUUUUACAAAUACAAAGAGAACUACAUUCUUCUUNNNNNNNNNNNNNNNNNNNNNNNNNCUUCAAUAUUUAUGCAAUUUUACCUGUUUAUAAAUAUUUAUUGUCAUUAUAUUAUUUUAUAAAAUAUUAAAAACUAAAUACCUAUGGGGCUUACGCCCCGCUGAGGCAUAUGUAAAACGCCUCGCCUUACGCCCACGCCUUUUAGAACACUGAACUGAACCUUUCAUUGAGUGAGUUUAAAACUGCCUCCUUUUUAUCCUAAAGGCCAAGACUAAUUAUGUGACUCAAAUUCACCACAAUAGGCAUCUAAACAAAUCAAUCAAAAACAGCAGGAUGGCAUGGCAAUUUAGUGUGCCAAACAACUAGUGACAUUCAAGCACAUGAAAACAAUUAAGUGACAGCAGGUAUUUAGAAGCAGUAAACAGGACCCAGAACCAACAUAUAUUUUAAAGGACUAGAGAAUAUCUUUAACCAAACACUAUCAAAGAACUUUCAAAAGAACGACUAAAGAAGAAAAAUGUCAUGCUGGGCACUCAUUUUUAAGAGCUUUAAACCAUUUGACAAGAACAAAUACUCCAACAUUUACACAUGAGAAACAAAACCAGAUUACGCUAAAAGAAUGGAUGAAACAGGCUACAUGGCACUUUUGACUCAGACUCUAAAUUCCAACGAUCAUUUAUCAACUUUCAAGCAAGCACAGUGAAAUUAUCAAACUUACAACUUUUAAUGAGACUAAAUAAACCUUUUAAACACACUCCAUAUUCAGUUUACUCACAAACGCUCGUGCGACCAACAUCAAAACAAGUGCAAAACAAGAGCAAUCCAUGGACAAACUAGUUGGAGCACGACAAUCGACGGGUCUCAACUUUUCACCUCAAAACAUAACAAUUAAUACAAAUUCCGACUUUGAACUCAAGUCGUGGAACUUUAGAUUAUCUUUUAAAAUCCUUAAAAUGAAAGCCAAAACCAAUUCAAACCUAAUCCAAGAGGCAUGAACAGUCAUUAAUCGACAAAUAAAAUAGGACAGCUUCAAAUAACAAGUUUAAAACAAGAAGAUUAACCAAAUAGGCUACAUAUGUGUAAAACUUCAAGCAGUCAAAUACCAAAUCAAACUGCAAUCCGGCGCAUCUAAACCAGACAGAUCCACUCGAAACCAGUAAUGAAUUCAAAUUCCCUCAAACACGAUUCUAUCACACAUAAUAAUCAACACCAAAGACAUGGUAAGAGUAAGGAGAAAAGAGAUAGACCUUGAAAAUAAUUCCUUAAUUGAUUUGCUGUUUGAAAAAUGAUAUACAUGAUUGCAGCAACGGAAGUUCAAAAAGCGACAAUACAGCAACAAGAAAUAAGAGCCACGAACGAACCUCAAUCGGCACCUCCAUCACUCGAACAAGCUCCAUACGAGCAGAACUACACCAACUCCAAUUGAAACCAGAAAAGGCAGAAACAGAAACUUUGGAGCAAACACUAAUGCCUCAAACAAACUCCAUAAUUUGAAACCAAAAUCAAAUGGGAGAGACUAAGCUUCUUUUUUUGUAUUUUCGACUUUUAAAGUAAACUGGAACUGGAACGAACUGUAUCUUUUUUUCCUUCUAAAUUUUUGAAAGAGCUCGAAUGGAAAAUCAGAAGAGGAAGAUCAAAAAGCAAAAACCAAAACCCUAGUUCUUCCCCUAAUUUUUGUCCGAAAUUUUUCUCGAAACUUUUGUCUCAAUUUCCCUCUGCCCAAAAAAGCCCGAAAAUGAGAGAAUUUACAAGAACUCUCGGAGUUUCUAUUCCUCUCCUCCAAGAAAUCUCGUGUGGGCCCCAAACCAAAAAUCCGAAAUCCUUUUUUGGAUAAAUGGAUAAAUUCCAGAGAAGUGGAAGAUCUUGGAUCAAAAACAUUAAUCCAAAGGCCCUCCAUUUUUCUAAGAUUUAUCAAGGGUUCCGAUUUGUUCAAGAGAAAGGCGAAAAGGAUGGAAAAAAGCGUGAGGCAUAUUCGAUUGUCAGAGUUUGUUGGGAUUUUGGUGACGUGAAAGAGGGAGAGAGGAGGGAUCAUGAGUUAACUCGGCCGAUUUAGUGAGUUUUCCGGCGAGUUGUGGCGUGAUGGCGGCGGCAGGUUAGGUGGUGCGGCUGAUUUAGGCUGAUUAGGGUUUGUGUGUUAUAAUUUGGUGUAAGGAAAAAAUGUGAGCUGUUGGAUUAGAAGUGCUUGGAUGGCUGAGAUUAAAGAAUGAAAAAUGUGGCGGGUCAAAGUGUUUAGACGGGUCGAGUAGGCGGGUUAAGAGAUUGGGGCUGAUGGGGGAGGGACUCGGUAAGAGAGAACUGGGCUGCUGAAAUUCUUAAAAUUGGACCAACUUUAUCUAAUUCAAACCCAAACAAAGCAACUAACCCAAAAUCAUUCUUUCUUUGGAUAAAAAUAAGAGUAUUAUAAAAUACUAAUAAGGAAUAAAAAUAAAGAACUAAAUUAAGGUAAACCAUAAUAUAAAGUGUAACUAUUUUUGUAUUUUCAAGGAUUAUACUAAAAUAAAAGUAGAGAAAAGUAAGUUAGAAUCAUGGUAUAAUUAAACUAAUAUCACUAUAAAAAUACUAAUGACCCUAAGUAAAAAUAAGAAAAUAUAUAAUGAAACUAUUUUAUGUGUUUUCAAAUUUAUAUUCUAAAAUUAAAAAUAAGAGUAAACUAAAAACCAAUUAAAAUAAUUCAAGUAAAUAUUUUAAAAAUACCAGGAAUAAUAAAACUAAGCGGGUCAAAAAUUACGUGCUUGCCCGUCGAAAAUACUGAAUCGCUAGAGCCAAAUACUCAAAUCAAAAUUGAGAGAGAAAGAAGAGGAUAGAGUUAUGGAAGAGUGAAACAGUUUCUAGAAUGUGCAAUUACCAAAGGAAGAAAGAAACUUAUGUAUUCUUGCCCAAGUUUGACCCAAUUAUACAUCAAAAAUUCUGGCUCUAAUAGAAAUGCCUUUUAAACAUAAGAACUGUAAAUCACCCUAAUUUCAAUUUUAGUUUGUCCAAUUCCACUCUUUAUGUGUAUUCAUUGAACAAAAUACAGAAAAAAUAUAAUGGACAAACUAUUCAUAGAAGAAACCAAAGAUAAAGAAGCCAAUAUUUCACCAAAUAAUACUCACCAGAAAAGAUAACGGCAACAAAUGCACAAAAAGGACCCACACCUGAGACGACAAAGAAUGGAUCCCAUCUCUGCUUCACAAAAAAAGUGAAUGAUGGUAAAGUAGCAAAUACAUAAAGCAUUGGCUACUAUUUGGAGAGAAUCAAACAAAUCACUGGCAACCAUGAGCUAUUUUAAGAGAAAAUUCACAUGCAUACAAGCGUAGGAACAACAAAAAAUUCUAAAUUAAAAAUGGAAAAAACCAAAACAUGAAUUUUCAGCAGAUAAAAUAGAAGUUGAUGAGUGAAUUAAUUUUCUGACAAAAAAUUAGAUCUUUUGUCAAUUCCGUAACCUAGCCAACACACAUGCAUCUAUAGAACUCAGCAAGAGAGUAGCAAAACAAAAUUAACAAAUACCCACCAGAAACAGGCGCAGAAAAAAAAAAGAAAAAAGAAUUUACCAGAAUUCAAAAAUAUAGACGCCAUAGACAAACUUCAACCAAGACGGAAAACUUUUGGAACGAAACCCAUAAGAGUUGAGAGAAAGAGCAGUAUGAUAGGAAGAUUUACCAUUUUACUUCCUAGGAUUGAGAUGAGACGAUAUAUCUAAGAAUAUGAAAUCAUAGAGAAAGAAUUAGGAGAAAGAAGAACAGGG